GUUUUAGUAGUUUAAAAAAAACAUUGAUCUUGUAAAUCAAAAAUAAAAGAAAUUUCUAAGACU
RNAcentral lists this transfer RNA (63 nucleotides) under Proscopia sp. HS-2014. RNAcentral describes it as "tRNA-Thr". The record is from RNAcentral. Lineage: Eukaryota; Metazoa; Arthropoda; Insecta; Orthoptera; Proscopiidae.